RNAcentral lists this ribosomal RNA (253 nucleotides) under uncultured bacterium. Its description in RNAcentral is "partial 16S ribosomal RNA". It matches the Rfam family "Bacterial small subunit ribosomal RNA", at positions 524 to 776 of the family's 1533-position model. The record is from RNAcentral.
UACAGAGACUGCAAGCGUUAUUCGGAUUCACUGGGCGUAAAGGGUGCGCAGGCGGUUGGGUGUGUCAGAUGUGAAAUCCCGAGGCUUAACCUCGGAACUGCAUUUGUGACUGCAAGACUAGAGUGCGGCAGAGGGGGGUAGAAUUCCACGUGUAGCAGUGAAAUGCGUAGAUAUGUGGAGGAAUACCGAUGGCGAAGGCAGCCCCCUGGGUCGACACUGACGCUCAUGCACGAAAGCGUGGGGAGCAAACAGG